GAAAGAUUCAUCGGAAGAGGAUGGGCAUGCGGCGCAUUAGCUUGACGGCGGGGUAACGGCCCACCGUGGCGACGAUGCGUAGGGGUUCUGAGAGGAAGGUCCCCCACACUGGUACUGAGACACGGACCAGACUCCUACGGGAGGCAGCAGUGAGGAAUAUUGGUCAAUGGGAGAGAUCCUGAACCAGCCAAGCCGCGUGAGGGAAGACGGCCCUAUGGGUUGUAAACCUCUUUUGUCGGAGAACAAAACCCGGGACGAGUCCCGGACUGCGUGUAUCCGAAGAAAAAGCAUCGGCUAACUCCGUGCCAGCAGCCGCGGUAAUACGGAGGAUGCGAGCGUUAUCCGGAUUUAUUGGGUUUAAAGGGUGCGUAGGCGGUCCGUUAAGUCAGCGGUAAAAUUGCGGGGCUCAACCCCGCCGAGCCGUUGAAACUGGCAGACUUGAGUUGGCGAGAAGUACGCGGAAUGCGCGGUGUAGCGGUGAAAUGCAUAGAUAUCGCGCAGAACUCCGAUUGCGAAGGCAGCGUACCGGCGCCAGACUGACGCUGAGGCACGAAAGCGUGGGGAUCGAACAGGAUUAGAUACCCUGGUAGUCCACGCAGUAAACGAUGAAUGCUGGUUGUCCGGGUCGAAUGAGACCUGGGCGGCGA
RNAcentral lists this ribosomal RNA (647 nucleotides) under uncultured bacterium. Its description in RNAcentral is "bacterial SSU rRNA". It matches the Rfam family "Bacterial small subunit ribosomal RNA", at positions 202 to 849 of the family's 1533-position model. The record is from RNAcentral.